RNAcentral lists this long non-coding RNA (507 nucleotides) under Neogobius melanostomus (round goby). RNAcentral's name for it is "lncRNA (ENSNMLG00000010770.1)". The record is from RNAcentral. Lineage: Eukaryota; Metazoa; Chordata; Actinopteri; Gobiiformes; Gobiidae.
CUCUCCCGUAUGCAGCAUAAGCCGACGUUUUUUUUCUGCGUGGCUGGAAAUUUCAGCUAUCGUACCUUUGAUUCGUGAAAAGAUGAUCGGGAGCUGCGUAUUUGGCUGGAAAGGCCUACGAUUGACUGAAUGCAACACAUAAAAAGGAAGGAUUCUUAUAUGGGUUACAUUUGAUUUUUCUGCGGCCCUAUCCGGAUUUCGGAUUACUCUGCCCUCUUCGGAAUGGAAGGACGGGAUUUUGCAGCUCAGGCGCACCUUCUGUCAGAGCGGGGCGCCCUCGUGCAUCGAGCCACCUCUCGGAUCGCUCCCUCCGGACACGGCUCUGUGCAGCACGCCGGUCACUUCCCGCCGGGGAAAUACUAUCCCUCGCACAUACCAAUGGGUCCCCACUCAGGCAGUGGAUUGAUGGGCAAUUCUUCCGCCUCCUUCAUGGGGACCUUUCUGGCCAGUAGUCUGGGUUCUCCCCCGUCACACCCGUCCCACCCGCCUCACCCGUCCCGGCCGCCC